GGGGAAUUUUGGACAAUGGGCGCAAGCCUGAUCCAGCCAUGCCGCGUGUCUGAAGAAGGCCUUCGGGUUGUAAAGGGCUUUUGUCAGGGAAGAAAAGGCUGUUGCUAAUAUCAAUAGCUGAUGACGGUACCUGAAGAAUAAGCACCGGCUAACUACGUGCCAGCAGCCGCGGUAAUACGUAGGGUGCGAGCGUUAAUCGGAAUUACUGGGCGUAAAGCGAGCGCAGACGGUUACUUAAGCAGGAUGUGAAAUCCCCGGGCUCAACCUGGGAACUGCGUUCUGAACUGGGUGACUAGAGUGUGUCAGAGGGAGGUAGAAUUCCACGUGUAGCAGUGAAAUGCGUAGAGAUGUGGAGGAAUACCGAUGGCGAAGGCAGCCUCCUGGGAUAACACUGACGUUCAUGCUCGAAAGCGUGGGUAGCAAACAGGAUUAGAUACCCUGGUAGUCCACGCCCUAAACGAUGUCAAUUAGCUGUUGGGCAACUUGAUUGCUUAGUAGCGUAGCUAACGCGUGAAAUUGACCGCCUGGGGAGUACGGUCGCAAGAUUA
This 548-nucleotide ribosomal RNA is filed under the name uncultured bacterium. Its description in RNAcentral is "bacterial SSU rRNA". It matches the Rfam family "Bacterial small subunit ribosomal RNA", at positions 356 to 896 of the family's 1533-position model. The record is from RNAcentral.